Non-coding RNA from Parasteatoda tepidariorum (common house spider), 6692 nucleotides. The record is from RefSeq and is a predicted model, not a curated record. Lineage: Eukaryota; Metazoa; Arthropoda; Arachnida; Araneae; Theridiidae.
UACUCUCUUUUGAAUAUCUCUUUACUUGUAAUUUUUUUAUCAGUGUUUAAUUUUUUAAUGUUAUUAUUUUUUUAGGUACUUAUAUACCAUCUACUCCUAAUAUUUUAUUAGAAAGGUAUUUAACUUCACAACCUAAUUCAAAAGAUAUACCUUCCAUUACUGCCUUUGAAAAAAAUGGCCUAAAAAUAGUAUUUGAAUUUGAAAAGCCUCCUGAUAAUCCCCAAAUGAUUGUUAUAAAUCUGGUCGCCUCAAACUCUUCGUUAGCUCCAAUUAAUGACUUCCUAUUCCAGGCUGCAGUACCUAAGGUUUUUCAAUUACAACUGCUUCCACCUACUAAUAACAGCAUACCAGCCAAUAACAUGGGUAGUAUUCAACAAACGCUCAAAAUCUUAAAUCCAAGUAAUAGUCAAUUACGAAUGAAAUUAAGAAUAUCUUAUGUAUCAAAUGGGAAUGCCGUUCUAGAACAAGUAGAAGUAAACAAUAUUCCUCAAGCUGUUUACAUGUGAAGUGACUGAAAUAUUUCAAUUGUGAUGGUUGGAUAUAAAUUUCCUGGGCUGUAAAUUGUUGAAAUUUCAACAUUAUGCCAUUAAGACUGUUUUCAAGGAAAGAGAUUUUUAGUUUGGAAGUAAUGGCAGUUAGAAGAAGCAGUAUUUAGGAGCUUUUUAAAAUUAUAUUUUGCACUUAAUCAUUCCAUUGUUAACUAUAUAGUUGUACAGUAUAAUUUUUAAAUUAAAAUUCAUAUACAUAUAUAUUUAUAUUCAUUUAACUAAUGACUAUGUUUGGAAGAAAAAAAACUUUCAUACUCUUUCUAAAUUUUGUGAUACUGUUUUUCGUAACUUACAAUUAUGGCUGUCAAAAAUUAUAGAAUUUGAUAGUAAAAUAUUUUGUUAUUUUAAAUUUCUCUUUUAUUUCUUUGAAACUCUUGGUGUAUUGAACUAUAUUUGAUAUCUGAGUUAGUAUUUCUUACUUUUAUUUGAACAUAAUUAGUCUAAUAAAAAAAUUUUGUUAUUGUAAAUAUGUAUAUUUAAAGUAUUUGAUAUUAAGACUUAGCUUAUUUAUUAAUAAAUUGGAAUAAGGUUUUUUUAGAUGAUUUUUUUAAUAUACUAAUCAAAAUGUUGAGAUUGUCUCUAUGGUGCCAGAACUAUAAUUGGUACAUUCUGCCUUAUACAAGCAUAUUUUCCCUACAUUUUAGAAGCUAAUUAUUUGAUUUAAAAUUUACUUUUGUUUUCUUCAAAAGCCUUAUUUGAAAAAAUCAUAGUCCACAAAGAACUUUGCUUGUUUCAAAAAUGGGUGUGGGCAAAAGACUUUUUCUAUAUUACCUAACUUUAAUUGUGCAUCAGAGUUGGAAAAAUAGCCUUCUUCUACAUAAAGAUGUGAUCACUAUUUUUAAACUAGUUCUUCAGAUUUCCAAAUCAUCUUCACUGUUUAAUAUUAAAAGUGUACUUAUAAAGCAUAAAAUUUUUAAAACCAUAAAAAAAUCAAUUUAAAUAAAACAUCGAAUGACUCUAGUUUUGCUUACUUAUUGUCAAUAAUGUCUGAUGAAAAACUUCACCUGUUCUUAAAUCUGUCGAGUAUUUAAUACAGGAAAGACUUUAUAAUUAGAUCAUAAUUAACCUUUCAAUGUCAUGAUUUAUAUACAGUAAAAGUCUGCUAUGGAGACAAUUCAAAAUAACAAGCAGAAUUGUUGUUAUAAUAAACUUGUCUUUAUAAACAUAUUUAAUGUUGAAAUAACAGUAAAAAAAGCCAAAAGAUUGAAUAGACAUAUUUACUUCGUAUUCUUUUAUUUUGAACAGCUCAUUUGAUUUAAAAUACAUACCUGGAGUAGACUGCUUUUACCAAUAAAAACAACUGGACUUGUAGAUUUUGCAAUAAUGCAAGCAAAAAAAAAAAAAAAAUGAAAGGACGUAGGAUAGCUUUUGACAUUAUCAAUAAUACUGAAUGUUGAUUUAAAGCGUAAGCUGUCAAGAAGAGAAACAAGGAGUCAUUGUAGAUAUGUGAUCAACAAAAGGCUGAAAAAAAUUUUCUUGGCCCACAUAUGACUUAAUAAACAUAAAGGGUUAAAACUAAAAUUAUUUGCCGUUUCUAUAUUGAUACCAGAAUUAAAUGAAAAUAUCUUCCAUUUUAAUUUUUAUAUAAUAUUGCUCACUUUAAACAAUAGAAAAAUGUAUUGACUGCAAAAAAAGAAAUAAUAAUUGCUAUAGCCGGAAGUUAACUAUUUCCAGCUUGUUAUAAACAUAUAAUUUUUGUGUCUUUAAUAUUAGCAUUUUGACGAUGACUUGGAAACUUGUGGUAAUAGCAGACUUUUCAAAAUACACUGUUACAUCAAGCUUUUACUGUAUAUAUAUCACAAAAAAAUAUUAUCUCUGCAUUUACUUUUUUGAUUGUAGAAAAAAAUCUCUUUUACCCCAAUAUAUUUGUUAUUGAUUCUCAAAGUUUUUAAAAAUUUUUGCUAACCAAAAAAACCUUUAAAAAACUUCUUAACUUUUAUAUCUUAAAUCCAAUUCAAUUUAAAGAUUUUUCUUUAUUAAAACUGACAUUUGUUAGAAGUUUGCUAGUGUAGACAAAAAUUUUGCAUUAUUGGAUGAUUAGGAGGAAUCAUAAGUAAUAAAUGAGAUUACGACAUGAAUAUAUCAGAAGAGGAAGAUGAUGAAACAGAUAUAUUUUGGCAAUAUUUAAUAAUAAGACAUUUAUUAAAGCAUAGUUUUGCAAAAGGCAUUGAACAUUCUGAACUUAUUUAAAUUUUUAGAAAGUAAAUAACCAAAUUCAGAAAAAUAUUUGCAAUUUGCAGCAACUUACUUCAAAUGUAAGGAAAUCUUAUUUAAGUUAAUAAGUAGGUACUAUUUCUCUAUUUUCUAAAUUUAUGUUCUCUGAAUAACUUGCAUAAUAUUUUUGUUGAAAUGUUAACAUUUUAAAUAUCACAAAUUUGUCAAUGUCUUAAAGUUUGUGAUAUUGAAGUUUGACUGUAUAUAUAUUUAUAUAUACUAUAGUAUUGACUAAGAAUUGUUAAGCAUAUACAUUGAACUUUUUAAUAUAAAAUUUUAAAAAAUAAUUAUUAUUUUGUUUGAUUCAUAAUACUCUUUUACAGCAAAGUCGUCAAAAAUUCUAAAACUUAUGUCAAUUCAACACAGUUAAAAUUUAUAAGUUGAAUUUUUAAAUUCAAAUAUUUAUCUCCUUUUUAUAUCUUGUUCAGUUCUUCUAUUAAGUUUGCCCUCAUUCAGUGAGAGCAUAUCAUGUUAAUUUGGACAUUUUAUGCAUAAUUUUUGGUGGAUCUCUGCUUUAAACUGUUGGUUAGAAAAACCAAGCUUUCUUCCAAGCAUUUGAGAUAAAGAUGCAUAGUAUUUCUUGUGAUAAUUUUCCACUUGAGAAUCAGAAAGUAUAAAAUAAGAGUAGCUGAAUUCCAUUGGGCAUUAUGAGGAAAUGGUGAUUCUCCAUUUAGUUAUGGAGUAUCCAUCAAUUUUUUUUUUUCAGAAAUAGAAUGCUUCUUACAAUUCUUAUAGAUAAAAUGAUCUUGUUGACCAGGAUUUUGAAUUAUUAUUAUUUCACUUUUUGGCUUUUAAGACUGAUGCUAGAUAUUGUAUUACUUUAUCACUUUCUCCACAAAUUCAUAAUUGAGAGUUAAUUUGUAAGAAGAAAUCUAAUUUAAGACGUCUAGCAAGUGCUUUAGGAUUCUAACAAGAACAUGAUGCUGACAGCUAAUAUGUCAUGGCUGAUCAAAUCUUCUAAGGACAUUCACUUGUCCAGUAUUUACUGCUAUGUCUCGUGCAAUCUUUUUGACAUGCUUCUUUACAUCAAAUUAAUUCAUCAAGCUUUGCAGUGCAUUUAAAAUAUCUUUUGAUGAUCCACUUUCUGUUUUACUACACUUUUCAAUACUUUAAAUGUACUCUUUAGAUUAUUUUUAAAGAGAUUCUGCAAGCUCACCUAUAUAUGGUUAGCACUAUAAACACUAAACAACAUUGGUUCUCUGCAGAGAUUGCAAAAAGCUUUCUUUUUUUGCAAAAUAGAUUUCAUUUCUCACUUCGCAGCUUUACUAUACAUCCUAUUUAAUUUAGCUCACAAUACAUCUGUCACUGAUUGUUAUGUAACACAAAUUUUAUUUUUGUCUAGACUGGAGCACACUACAGCAGCUUUAUUACUUGUAAGAGAUAUCUUGUCCUGUUGAAAACAUUGUUUUCUUUUGUCAUUUUCUUCUGAUAAAGAUACUAUGAUGCUAAUAAAAGAUGUAAGAUUUUAGUACUGUUUACUUUUACUAGUGAUUUCGUGGUAGGAUUUCUAUUGGCCAAGGACAGAGAAGGUGUUUAAUUCAGAUUGUGAAGUUUGUUUCAACACUCGCUUAGAGGGAGGGCAACAAUUAUGCAAAAACUGUGUUUGUUACAUAUGAAUACUUUAUUUGAAUAAUUGGACAGUUCAACUUAUUAAAAAAUAGUGUUAGCCUCACUUUCUUGUUCAUACAAUUCAUUUCUAUCUUAUUUUGUAACUAGUACACCUACAGCUUAUUUCCCCUGCUCAAAUUAUGGCACCAUAUGUCAAAGCAGCCAAAAUGAGAAAAACAAGAAACGCAUUAGAUUUUAAGGCUCAGUAUCUUAGAAUAAACAAAGAUUGAACUGGUCUGCUAUUUAAUAAAACCUUUGUAGUCGAUUUUCAUUUGUAACUUAUCUAGUUCUUUUCCUUCUUGGCAAAACCAAUUUUGGUCUGUUUUCUUUAUGUCAAAUAUAUUUUCUAUUUCAAUUUGAAAUGUCUUCUUUUAUCGAAUUUUGGUUCUUGUAUUAGAAAUCACUAAUCACACCGCCAAGAAUCUUCCAUGCUUCUAAGUGCCUCAUAGGACAAAUUAUGGAGAAUUUUAUCACUGAAUCAUUACUUGUAUCAUUUAAAAUAAUGUUUUAGCAACACAUUUCAGACACUUUGUGAUGAGCAAUAGUAAACAAAUUUACUUUUUAGUUACCACAGGUUUUAGCACACUAAAACAAAAACAAAUUGUUAUGAAAAGUUUUUCAAAACCACCUGCAAUAAUAAGUUUUCACUGAUCCUGACACUAAAGAUCGUCAAUUUGGACCAGAGGAAAUAAAAAAAAAAUUUUAGUCAUCCCUAGCAUAUAUAGAGAGAGUUAUUUUCAUGUAUGUUACUGCAUCUAUUUAUCAAUCAUAAUGUAACUUGUUUUUAGAUUGCUUCAUGGGUAAUAAAGGCUAGUGACCAUAUUUUUUGCAGUUUAUAACACUAUUGUUUGUUUUGUUACCUUGAGUAUGCAAUGUUCAAAUUUGCGAUCCAAUUUAUUUACCUUUUUGUACUGUAAAAUUUUACAUUCAAGCCAAUAAUUUAUCAAAUUUGCUUUGCUCUAUACUUUUUGAAUUUUUUAAUUUUGAACGAUUGUGUAUUAAUUAGGUGUUAUACCGCAUGAAAUAGUAUGCACCCAGUGCACACAUUCAUUCAUCUCAAUUACUAUAGAUCAAAACUUAUUUGUAGCACUUUUUUCUUCUGUCAUAUUAUUUUAUUUUUGUUUUAAUUAAGCCUUGCAAAAUUACGUAAAACUCCUCUUUUUAAUGUAAGUUAACUUACAACAUUUUUGCCAGUGUAAACUAACAUUUUUUUCACAAAAUUUUGGGAUCAUAAUUAGUUUUAGAAAAAUAUUUAUUUUUUAAAUAUUGUAAUAUGUAUCGUUCACAAGCUUUAAGAGUAUUAAAUAAUUUUAAAAUAUCUAUUAUAAAGUUUUAAAAAAAAAUCUUGACCAGAUAUAUGUAAUAUGAUCAAUAUUUUAUUGUAAGCUAGACAAUGAAAGUUUUGAGCAAAAACUGUUGUAGAUCAUUUAAGAUUUCUCCAGAUUUUUUUUAUAUUAAAAAUGCUUUGAAUACAAAACAAGUACUACUUCAAUUUUAUUUUUUCUAUAAGUACAUUCUUUAGACAUUAUUUUUUGAAGAAAUAUAGCUGAAUCCUACUAGAUAGGCUUUCCCCCCUCAAAAUUGAUUGUUUCAAAACCAGUUAAGUCGCACAUUUCUUUUUCUUUUUUUGAUUAAAAAUUAAAAUCCUUUUAAUGAUAGAAACUAGCUUAAUAUAAUUAUUUUUCCAAAAGCAUUUAUUCAAAUGCCUUAAUAAGAAAUGAGUUUCUUUCUCGUGUAAAGUCUAUGGAAAUAAGCAAGUCAGUUUUGAAAUCAAUGAUUUUUUCUUUUUUUUUUGUAUAAAUUUAACACUUUAUUUCUACAUUUCCCUUUUACUCAAGUUUCAUUAUAUUUCUAUUUCUGAUGUACUCUUCGUUUCUGUAAAUAUAAAUUAGAAUGUGUGAUUGGUUUAUACCAAAAGAUGAAAGACUAUGCCAUACUUGCCUUAAGUAGAAGUUCUUUUUGUGUCUUUAUAUAAUUCUGUAUGUCUGUUUUAAAUAGAUGUCUUGUGUAUUCUAUUUCUCUUUAUCUUUAAUGCAAAGUAUGUUUUGGUGUAUUUUCUGUUUGUUUCAUCUUAAAAUUUUUUAAUUUGUUAAAACACCUCUCUUUAUUAUACUUUUGUUUAAAAUAGUGAAAGUAUUAUUAUACAAUGGAUCAUAGCUUUCAAAAUCUUUUUUAUAUGUAUCUCAAAAGCCUAAGAGUAAAUAAUUCUCCAUAAAAAUGUUUGUAAAAACUAGUAAAUUAAAUCAUAUUUUUCCAUUAAAGGUACUUGUAUAAGGCCAUUUGUGUAUAAAAGUAUUAAAUAAAGACUAUUAUUUAGUACUA